Regulatory RNA element from Halobacterium sp., 58 nucleotides. It matches the Rfam family "eL15-Euryarchaeota ribosomal protein leader". The record is from Rfam. Lineage: Archaea; Methanobacteriati; Methanobacteriota; Halobacteria; Halobacteriales; Halobacteriaceae.
CCUGACGACGCGUCGGGCCGGGAUGUGAUUCUCGGUGCGCCGGGAAUUGAACCACACA